This 185-nucleotide ribosomal RNA is filed under the name Myrmelachista sp. MC-1995. RNAcentral describes it as "partial 16S ribosomal RNA". Lineage: Eukaryota; Metazoa; Arthropoda; Insecta; Hymenoptera; Formicidae. The record is from RNAcentral.
UUUUAAAUUCAAAAUUUUNNNCUAAAUAGUAUAUUUUUCAUCAAUUCCUUCAUUCUAGUUUUCAUUUAAAAAACAAUUGAUUAUGCUACCUUAGCACAGUCAGUAUACUGCGGCUAUUUAAUUAACCUCAUUGAGCAGAACAAAUCUUAAAUUAUWCUCAAAANNCCAUGUUUUUGAUAAACAGG